UGGGGUCCCAAAUGGCCUACCUCUUUGCCACUCUUUUGGCAAUCUCAGUCUCUCUUAGCUACUUGCCUUUAGAAGCCUCCGCAGACCAUUACUACUACACAUCUCCUCCCCCGCCAAAGAAAUAUCCACCACCAGUAGCAUCUCCCCCUUACCAUUACACGUCUCCCCCACCACCGAAGCCAGUUUAUCAUUCCCCACCACAGACGCCGGUUUAUCAUUCCCCACCACCGACGCCGGUUUAUCAUUCCCCACCACCGCCCAAGAAACCAUACGAAUACAAGUCUCCUCCGCCACCAACUCCAGUUUACCAUUCCCCACCACCGAAGCCAGUUUAUCAUUCCCCACCACAGACGCCGGUUUAUCAUUCACCGCCACCGGUUCCGGUUUACCAUUCCCCACCACCACCCAAGAAACCUUACAAAUACAAGUCUCCUCCGCCACCAACUCCAGUUUACCAUUCCCCACCACCGACGCCGGUUUAUCAUUCCCCACCACCGCCCAAGAAACCAUACGAAUACAAGUCUCCUCCGCCACCAACUCCAGUUUACCAUUCCCCACCACCACCAAAGAAACCAUACAAAUAUAAGUCUCCUCCACCACCAACUCCAGUUUACCAUUCCCCACCACCAACGCCGGUUUAUCAUUCCCCACCACCUCCCAAGAAACCAUACAAGUACAAGUCUCCUCCACCACCAACUCCAGUUUACCAUUCCGCACCACCACCAAAGAAGCCAUACAAAUAUAAGUCUCCUCCGCCACCAACUCCAGUUUACCAUUCCCCACCACCGACGCCGGUUUAUCAUUCCCCACCACCUCCUAAGAAACCAUACAAGUACAAGUCUCCUCCGCCACCGACUCCAGUUUACCAUUCCCCACCACCUCCAGUUUACCAUUCCCCACCACCACAUCACCCUUACGUCUAUGCAUCUCCCCCUCCUCCUUACCACUACUAGAAAGUGGACAUGAAUAGCUCAUGCUUUUAUGGUAAAACUCAUUUAUUUUUAAGACUGUUCAUGUAAAGCCUAGUAGAUCAGAAUUACGCUAAGCACUUCAAUUUUAAGCACGGUGUUCUGUUUAGUUGCGUCCAUAGUGAUUAAGUGACAAAUAAAAGUGACUGAUUAAUUUGUUCUUGCAGGAGAGGCUAAUGGUAUCCGAAUAAAGAAAGGGUUCGAUGAAAAGCUUUACUGCGAGCAGGAUAGCGAUCGAUCGAGUUGCCGCGUUUGAUUCUCUUUUAUCUUUGUUUUCGACGAGGAAUAAACAGCUACAUGUAGAAACAGAAAAGUUCUUAUCAUUCUCAUGUAUCGUGGAUUUUAGGUGCGUGUGUGUGUGUCAAUCGAAUCUUAGGUGCAUGUGUCUUUUGUAAUUUUCAACCUCUAUGCAUGCAAAAUGCAAGAGCUUUUUCGUAUAAUAAAAUUAAUAUACUUCCCAAGAUGGUCCGUAUAUAUGUUGUGGUUGAUUUUUAUGUCUCUUUGGCGAUGAUUGUGACGUUUAAAAUUGAUGACUGUUGUUUUAGUAAAGCCUGCAUGGACUUUUCUUUUUC
This 1540-nucleotide long non-coding RNA is filed under the name Citrus maxima (pomelo). RNAcentral describes it as "long non-coding RNA (CMAX_LNC001589)". Lineage: Eukaryota; Viridiplantae; Streptophyta; Magnoliopsida; Sapindales; Rutaceae. The record is from RNAcentral.